This 253-nucleotide ribosomal RNA is filed under the name uncultured bacterium. Its description in RNAcentral is "partial 16S ribosomal RNA". It matches the Rfam family "Bacterial small subunit ribosomal RNA", at positions 524 to 776 of the family's 1533-position model. The record is from RNAcentral.
UACGUAGGGGGCGAGCGUUGUCCGGAAUCAUUGGGCGUAAAGCGCGUGUAGGCGGUCCGUUAAGUCCGCUGUGAAAGUCGGGGGCUCAACCCUCGGAUGCCGGUGGAUACUGUCGGGCUCGAGUACGGAAGAGGCGAGUGGAAUUCCUGGUGUAGCGGUGAAAUGCGCAGAUAUCAGGAGGAACACCAAUUGCGAAGGCAGCUCGCUGGGACGUUACUGACGCUGAGACGCGAAAGCGUGGGGAGCAAACAGG